This 1139-nucleotide long non-coding RNA is filed under the name Homo sapiens (human). RNAcentral's name for it is "non-protein coding lnc-IL20RB-2:1". The record is from RNAcentral. Lineage: Eukaryota; Metazoa; Chordata; Mammalia; Primates; Hominidae.
CCUCCCAAAGUGCUGGGAUUACAGGCAUGAGCCACUGCGCCCUGCCUCACUUGAACUUUUGAGUCUUGCAAUUGGAAAUAGAUCAAAAUGGAAUAGUUUUCCCCUUUUCUUGGCCUCACCCCAGAUCAGGCCUAGAUUAUGGAGGGCCAGUGAGGUGGAACGCUUACUGUGUGUUUUUGUUUUUGUUUUUGUUUUUAGACAGGGGUCUUGCUCUGUCACCCAGGCUGGAGUGCAGUGGCGUGAUCUUAGCUCACUGCAACCUCCAUCUCCCGGGUUCAAGCGUUUCUCCUGCCUCAGCCUCCCAAGUAGCUGGGAUUACAGGCACCUGCCACCACACCUGGCUAGUUUUUGUAUUUUUAGUAGAGACAACGUUUCCCAAUGUUGCCCAGGCUGGUCUCGAACUCCUGGCUUCAAGUGAUCUGCCCGCCUCGGCCUCCCAAAGUGCUGGGAUUGCAGGCGUGAGCCACCGCCUGUGUUUUAAAUGAAGAGUUUCAGUUUAGCUGAUGGCAGCAAAUAGAAGCUGAAAUUUAAAUACAAGUAACAUUAAGUAACAUCUCCCUCUGUUGCAACUUUGGGUUGACAAAGGCAAGGCUCAGGUUAAAGAACUGAUAAAAACUUGGUCAUGAGGUGUGGGUCUCAUCAUGUUGCUUAAAAACAAAAAGCCCAGCUUCCAGAGAUGUGCAUGGUGUUGAUUGUGGCAGAGGGUAUGAGAAAGUGGGGCCCACUCUUUUCUUUGGCUAAUGACUCAUUUAAAAACUCAUUUGUCACCUAAAACAUUUAUUCCAAAAUUGGGAUUUUUAAAUUAAAUGCUAUUUAAAACUUCAGAAAGGAAUUAAAAACUUGAUAAUUGAAACAGGUGAUAUGUCAAUUCACCUUUUAAAUUCAAAUAAUAUAGUUCAGAAUAAAUCAUAAAAUUUGGGAAGAAUUUGGAUUUCUUCACCAACACUAAAUAGCUAUUGCAUAAGUGUGUGCUGUAAUUGUAAACACUGGUGUAUUUUACAAACUGGUUUUAUUGGAAUCCAUGUAGUCUGAAAAUUGUAUGAUUCUGUAAAAAAGUUUCCACUUGAACUUUCUGAGAACGGUUUAAAGGUGAAAUAAUCUGAUACACUUCUCUGUCAAUAAAAAAUAAAUCAUGAUAU